RNAcentral lists this ribosomal RNA (213 nucleotides) under uncultured bacterium. RNAcentral describes it as "partial 16S ribosomal RNA". It matches the Rfam family "Bacterial small subunit ribosomal RNA", at positions 1289 to 1500 of the family's 1533-position model. The record is from RNAcentral.
CAGUUCGGAUUGCAGUCUGCAACUCGACCGCAUGAAGCUGGAAUCGCUAGUAAUCGCGAAUCAGCAUGUCGCGGUGAAUACGUUCCCGGGUCUUGUACACACCGCCCGUCACACCAUGGGAGUCGGAAAUGCCCGAAGCCAGUGACCCAACCUUUAAGGAGGGAGCUGUCGAAGGCAGGUCUGGUAACUGGGGUGAAGUCGUAACAAGGUAGC